RNAcentral lists this ribosomal RNA (253 nucleotides) under uncultured bacterium. RNAcentral's name for it is "partial 16S ribosomal RNA". It matches the Rfam family "Bacterial small subunit ribosomal RNA", at positions 524 to 776 of the family's 1533-position model. The record is from RNAcentral.
UACGUAGGGGGCUAGCGUUGUCCGGAAUCAUUGGGCGUAAAGAGCGUGUAGGCGGCCCGGUAAGUCCGCUGUGAAAGUCGGGGGCUCAACCCUCGAAUGCCGGUGGAUACUGUCGGGCUAGAGUGCGGAAGAGGCGAGUGGAAUUCCUGGUGUAGCGGUGAAAUGCGCAGAUAUCAGGAGGAACACCGGUGGCGAAGGCGGAUCUCUGGGCCGAUACUGACGCUGAGGAGCGAAAGCGUGGGGAGCGAACGGG